UGGGGAAUUUUGCACAAUGGGGGAAACCCUGAUGCAGCGACGCCGCGUGAUUUAGAAGGCCUUCGGGUUGUAAAAAUCUUUUUUACGGGAUGAAAAUGACAGUACCGUAAGAAUAAGGUCCGGCUAAAUACGUGCCAGCAGCCGCGGUAAUACGUAUGGACCGAGCGUUGUCCGGAAUCAUUGGGCGUAAAGGGUACGUAGGCGGCCUAGUAAGUUAGAAGUGAAAUAAUAUAGCUCAACUAUAUAAAGCUUUUAAAACUGCUAGGCUUGAGAGAUGGAAGGGAAAGUGGAAUUCCUAGUGUAGCGGUGAAAUGCGCAGAUAUUAGGAAGAAUUCCGGUGGCGAAGGCGACUUUCUGGUCAUCAUCUGACGCUGAGGUACGAAAGCGUGGGUAGCAAACAGG
RNAcentral lists this ribosomal RNA (402 nucleotides) under bacterium. Its description in RNAcentral is "partial 16S ribosomal RNA". It matches the Rfam family "Bacterial small subunit ribosomal RNA", at positions 355 to 776 of the family's 1533-position model. The record is from RNAcentral.